UUGGAUCCAGACUUUGAUCAUGGCUCAGGAUGAACGCUAGCUACAGGCUUAACACAUGCAAGUCGAGGGGCAGCAUGUCGGUUGCUUGCAACCGACGAUGGCGACCGGCGCACGGGUGAGUAACGCGUAUCCAACCUACCCUUGUCCAUCGGAUAACCCGUCGAAAGGCGGCCUAACACGAUAUGCGGUUCACAGCAGGCAUCUAACGUGAACGAAAUGUGAAGGAGAAGGAUGGGGAUGCGUCUGAUUAGCUUGUUGGCGGGGUAACGGCCCACCAAGGCGACGAUCAGUAGGGGUUCUGAGAGGAAGGUCCCCCACAUUGGAACUGAGUCACGGUCCAAACUCCUACGGGAGGCAGCAGUGAGGAAUAUUGGUCAAUGGACGAGAGUCUGAACCAGCCAAGUAGCGUGCAGGAUGACGGCCCUAUGGGUUGUAAACUGCUUUUAUAGGGGGAUAAAGUGUGCCACGUGUGGCAUAUUGCAGGUAUCCUAUGAAUAAGGACCGGCUAAUUCCGUGCCAGCAGCCGCGGUAAUACGGAAGGUCCGGGCGUUAUCCGGAUUUAUUGGGUUUAAAGGGAGCGUAGGCCGUCUUAUAAGCGUGUUGUGAAAUGUCGGGGCUCAACCUGGGCAUUGCAGCGCGAACUGUGAGACUUGAGUGCGCAGGAAGUAGGCGGAAUUCGUCGUGUAGCGGUGAAAUGCUUAGAUAUGACGAAGAACUCCGAUUGCGAAGGCAGCCUGCUGUAGCGCAACUGACGCUGAAGCUCGAAAGCGUGGGUAUCGAACAGGAUUAGAUACCCUGGUAGUCCACGCGGUAAACGAUGGAUGCUCGCUGUUUGCGUCUGACGUAAGCGGCCAAGCGAAAGCGUUAAGCAUCCCACCUGGGGAGUACGCCGGCAACGGUGCAACUCAAAGGAAUUGACGGA
This 922-nucleotide ribosomal RNA is filed under the name uncultured organism. Its description in RNAcentral is "bacterial SSU rRNA". It matches the Rfam family "Bacterial small subunit ribosomal RNA", at positions 1 to 917 of the family's 1533-position model. The record is from RNAcentral.